This 1492-nucleotide ribosomal RNA is filed under the name Lactiplantibacillus pentosus. RNAcentral describes it as "bacterial SSU rRNA". It matches the Rfam family "Bacterial small subunit ribosomal RNA". The record is from RNAcentral. Lineage: Bacteria; Bacillati; Bacillota; Bacilli; Lactobacillales; Lactobacillaceae.
GACGAACGCUGGCGGCGUGCCUAAUACAUGCAAGUCGAACGAACUCUGGUAUUGAUUGGUGCUUGCAUCAUGAUUUACAUUUGAGUGAGUGGCGAACUGGUGAGUAACACGUGGGAAACCUGCCCAGAAGCGGGGGAUAACACCUGGAAACAGAUGCUAAUACCGCAUAACAACUUGGACCGCAUGGUCCGAGUUUGAAAGAUGGCUUCGGCUAUCACUUUUGGAUGGUCCCGCGGCGUAUUAGCUAGAUGGUGAGGUAACGGCUCACCAUGGCAAUGAUACGUAGCCGACCUGAGAGGGUAAUCGGCCACAUUGGGACUGAGACACGGCCCAAACUCCUACGGGAGGCAGCAGUAGGGAAUCUUCCACAAUGGACGAAAGUCUGAUGGAGCAACGCCGCGUGAGUGAAGAAGGGUUUCGGCUCGUAAAACUCUGUUGUUAAAGAAGAACAUAUCUGAGAGUAACUGUUCAGGUAUUGACGGUAUUUAACCAGAAAGCCACGGCUAACUACGUGCCAGCAGCCGCGGUAAUACGUAGGUGGCAAGCGUUGUCCGGAUUUAUUGGGCGUAAAGCGAGCGCAGGCGGUUUUUUAAGUCUGAUGUGAAAGCCUUCGGCUCAACCGAAGAAGUGCAUCGGAAACUGGGAAACUUGAGUGCAGAAGAGGACAGUGGAACUCCAUGUGUAGCGGUGAAAUGCGUAGAUAUAUGGAAGAACACCAGUGGCGAAGGCGGCUGUCUGGUCUGUAACUGACGCUGAGGCUCGAAAGUAUGGGUAGCAAACAGGAUUAGAUACCCUGGUAGUCCAUACCGUAAACGAUGAAUGCUAAGUGUUGGAGGGUUUCCGCCCUUCAGUGCUGCAGCUAACGCAUUAAGCAUUCCGCCUGGGGAGUACGGCCGCAAGGCUGAAACUCAAAGGAAUUGACGGGGGCCCGCACAAGCGGUGGAGCAUGUGGUUUAAUUCGAAGCUACGCGAAGAACCUUACCAGGUCUUGACAUACUAUGCAAAUCUAAGAGAUUAGACGUUCCCUUCGGGGACAUGGAUACAGGUGGUGCAUGGUUGUCGUCAGCUCGUGUCGUGAGAUGUUGGGUUAAGUCCCGCAACGAGCGCAACCCUUAUUAUCAGUUGCCAGCAUUAAGUUGGGCACUCUGGUAAGACUGCCGGUGACAAACCGGAGGAAGGUGGGGAUGACGUCAAAUCAUCAUGCCCCUUAUGACCUGGGCUACACACGUGCUACAAUGGAUGGUACAACGAGUUGCGAACUCGCGAGAGUAAGCUAAUCUCUUAAAGCCAUUCUCAGUUCGGAUUGUAGGCUGCAACUCGCCUACAUGAAGUCGGAAUCGCUAGUAAUCGCGGAUCAGCAUGCCGCGGUGAAUACGUUCCCGGGCCUUGUACACACCGCCCGUCACACCAUGAGAGUUUGUAACACCCAAAGUCGGUGGGGUAACCUUUUAGGAACCAGCCGCCUAAGGUGGGACAGAUGAUUAGGGUGAAG